ACGACCACAUUAUGUUGAAAUACCAGUUCCCUUACGAUCACCAAGGUUAAGCAAUGUUGAGCCUAGUCAGUACCUAAAAGGGUGACUGUUUGGGAAUACUAGGUGCUGUAA
Non-coding RNA from Acanthosepion pharaonis, 111 nucleotides. NCBI's taxonomy places the organism in Eukaryota, Metazoa, Mollusca, Cephalopoda, Sepiida, Sepiidae. The record is from the annotation of a GenBank genome assembly.